This is a non-coding RNA of Physcomitrium patens, 6398 nucleotides long. Lineage: Eukaryota; Viridiplantae; Streptophyta; Bryopsida; Funariales; Funariaceae. The record is from RefSeq and is a predicted model, not a curated record.
CCUCGUUCUAGUUAUUGUGCUACGUCAAUCAAAUAAAACACAAUGUCAAUCAUAUGGCUUGAUCUACAGGCACCGUAAAUGAAGCGGCAAGAUUCUCCACGGAGGCAAACUCCAGUUAUCGAUUAUGUGUUUGAGCUCGAAUUCCAAAAGCAAUGCCGACAUGGUUUUGGGAGCUAUGAUUUAUCGGUAGCUCUACGACGAGUUGGGCUAGAGCCAUGCGUAAUCUACGAGUUUUGCUGCGGAUCCUUUUGAACAGCAGAAUGACCAAUUCUACUGAUUGCAGCGGCGUGAUUGGAAACACUGUGCACGCUUUGCCGGCAAAUGCAAACGAAGUCCCGCACAGCAAUGUCGAUUGGAAACUGAGGAGGAAGUCCACUUUGACGACUCUCAAGAAUAGGUCAGUCUCACGUGUUUGGUCUGCGACGCCAUUAAAUCGGGGGCCAUAGUUCCCAGCAUCUUCGACUGAGGUUUAUUUCACCCGUAAGUCUAGUUGUAUCGUAGGCUUAGCUGCUUGCGGCUCGGUCGCUGGUCGUUGCAAGGAAACUCUUUCCCUGUUUACUUUGGCUGCGUGAGUUUCAUUUUGCUUCUGCGUCAAGGGAAGGCCAGGGUUCAGUUUUACAUGUCCAUGUGGAUGGUGCUUGAUGAAUGCUGUCGAUGUUCGUUUGUCAAUUUUCAGUUUGGAUCUGCUUGUUGCCAAUCCUUGGCAUCAGAGGGCAGAUUGGUUUGUUGAAAUUGAAUUGUGCAGAGUGAUGAUGUCAACAGUGUAGGCAGAUUUUUCUGAGAGUGUAGAAUAUUGAGUGAGUGGCGGGGUCGUGAAGUCUUAGCAUUGUCGAAAGGGAUGAUCCGGAAGCUUGCAGGGUUGGAUUUCGUGUUGUAGCUGGAUUUUGAGUCGUGAGCCCUGAGUUGGCGAGAUUGGUGAGGAUUUGGAGUUUGAGAUUGAAUUAGGUUGGAAGUGGAGAUCAAGGAAUUUGGAAUGGCGAGUUUCCUCGAGAGCAACGGCGUGGUCAAUGUUUAAUUGGAAUGGUGUGGAUGGUGAGCUAAUGUGCUUGCUCUUAUCAAGUAAGAGAGUCGAUAGCGAGAGACGGAUUGCCCAGCUUUUGGAGUUUGAGGCGACUCUACAGCUAAAGGAGAAGGUUGACAUCGUGAAGGAAAUGUUAAUGUGAUGACCUGGUGCAAUAAGCUCCAGCAGAAGAUCGGCCUAUGCUGCUCGUUUAGUCAUUUCCUUUGAUAAGCAGUUAGUGUUUUUCAAAGCAGAAAACGAACUGUUUAAGAUGUCAGGAGUGGGGUCGGGAGUGGGUUGGGUGUUAUCGCCGCCGCCUAGCAAGGACAAUGGGGGAGCUGCACACUGUAGCCCACAUGGGCUGAUUGCUUACGGUGCAGGCAGCAGCGUAGUGGUGAUGGAGCCUCGAACCAUGCAACUUGUUGCGGUACUGCCUAUGAUCGCCCCCAAGAAUGCCUCCUUGCAGCCAGCUCCUUUCGUGACUGCUGUACAGUGGACUCCGGAGGGAAUUUCUCGUGACCUCGUGGGAGAGGAUUUUUCUACAGCUCAUAUGCAGUUAGCAGUGGGUGACCGACACGGUCGUGUUGCUAUUUGGGAUGUUGCGUCAGGGGACAUCUGUACUUGGCUAGACGUCGAUGCGGAAAAGGGAAAACAAGGCAUUCAAGAUGUAUGUUGGGUAUAUGGGCAGCCUUGGUUACUGGCUGUCAUUCAUGGCCCUACAAGUUUAAAUAUUUGGGAUCCUGUAACAGGGCGCUGUAUAUGGAGGUUCGACUCAGGCGGGGAGCUUCUUGGAUGUGUGAGAGCCGAUCCUUUCGAUCCUCGGCAGUUCUGUCUGGUUGGGCUUCGGGGCCUACUAAUGUCGGUUCUUGUAGCCGGGGUUUCGGAUUCAGAGAUACUCACCAAGCAGUACAUAAUUCCUGGACAAGACGAGAAAGGAUUGAUGGUUGAAAAGACCAGGGAUGGAACUAGCAGUUCUGGAUCAUCAUCAUCUGGAACGCCUGCUCUAGCAUUCGCACCCGGGGUUAUUGUCCGGUGUUUGUACUCCAGGACCAGACGAGGUUUGCUGUAUGUGAUGAUGCCGCGUGAAAUCGUUGUUUUUGACUUAGCUUUUGGAAUGCCCUUGGCCACAACGUCCUUACCACGUGGGUGCUCAAAACUUCUCGAUCUAUUGGCUUGUGCCGAUGGUGACGUUCUUUAUUGUGCUCACCAGGAUGGCAAAGUUAGUGCCUGGAGAAGAAAAGAGGAUAAACAGGUUUUCUCAUUAUGCUUUAUGGGUACGUUGAUGCCCUCCAUCGGAUCCCCUGUUCCUGCACCGGCCGUUCUUGCUGUAGUACACUGCCCUUUGCAACUUCAAGUGCAGAAAUCCUCAAACGAUAAUCAGUCUAGUAGUCUGCAGGUUGAUUCCCUUCCAGGAGCCAUUUCUGUCUCAAGUACAUUGGCACAAAAUGACCAGCUUGUUGAAGUCAAGAUCCUCCCCGCUCUUGAGGCCACGCUUUUAUCUAUUACUGAUGAUGGUCGACUAUUGCGCUGGGUCAUCAAUGGAGAUGAUGCCGAAAGUGAGCCUAUAUCUUUAACUGGGACAAAGUUAACGCAUAGGAACUCCGGAGAGUCAAACACAACUGGGGAACUUGUGCACUCCAAUUCAAAUGGAUUGAAUUCUGAAGCUCUUUUCAAGCUUGAUCUGACAGGACAAUUACAACUUCUUUCAUCUGUUGUAACCACAUUAGCUGUUCCAAUGCCCUCCAUCCUCGCUAUGGGCUUGGGGGGAGAAGGAAGCAAUGCAGGAGCUGUAUCAGUUCCUCUAGUGGCAUUAGCUUGCCAAGGAGGCAGUCUAGAGCUUGUUGAUACAGCUGCAAAUACUAUAACUGCCUCAUUUGCUGUACACAGCAAUCAGACAGUUCGAGGAGUUCGCUGGCUUGGAAAUACACGUCUUGUCUCGUUCUCAUACACUGAGGUGAAGGGAAAAGGGGGCGGCUUCGUGAACCGUCUGGUUUUGACAUGUGUGCGUAGUGGCCAUAGCAAGGUUUUCCGGGUGAUUCAAAAGCCAGAACGUUCUCCAAUGCGUGCCCUCCGCACCUCGCCAUCUGGCAGGUACCUAUUGAUCCUGUUCAAGGAGGCUCCUGCAGAGGUGUGGGAAGUGUCAAGUACUCCACAGAUGAUAAGGUCUGUGGCUCUACCUUUCACGGUGAUGGAGUGGGCGCUUCCUCCAGCCCCCAAGGCAGCCGCUGCAGCAGCCGCCUCUUGGGGAAAGAAAACAGCUAUGAUGAAAGAGCGACCUACUAUUGCCUCAGCAGCAGCCUCUGCUUCUGCUCCCAUAAUAUCUGGUGCAGAUUCACAAGACUCUGAAAUUGCUGAAAGUUUUGCGUUUGCUCUAGUAAACGGCUCUCUUGGAGUUUUUGAACUACGAGGUAGAAGAGUUCGGGACUUCAAACCCAAAUUUCCUUCCGCUUCAUUUGUCUCUGCGGAUGUACUAAUAACUGCCAUGGCAUAUCGCACACCUCAUGUGGUCAUGGGAGACCGGACAGGUAGUAUAAGAUGGUGGGAUGUAGUGACAGGGCUGUCAUCAUCUUUUAGUACUCAUCGCGGAGGCGUUCGUCGCAUCAAAUUUGCACCUGUAAGAAUUGGUGAUCCUACAAGAGGUCGCAUAGCUGUCCUCUUCAAUGACCACAGUUUUGCUGUGUAUGAUCUUGAUACGCACGAUCCAUUAACUCAUUCACUAGUACAACCUCACCUUGGAGGCAUAUUGGUGCUUGAACUGGACUGGUACCCGCUGCGUCCAGACAAGAAUGAACCUUUGCUCUUGUGCAUAGCUGGUGCAGAUGGUAGUUUUCGACUUCUUGAGGUUCAAAAUCUUGCAGGAAGCAAGUCUAGCCAGCUGGCAAAGCCAACGCAAUGGCAACGCUACCGACCCAUGCCCUUGUGCUGUGCAGCCCUGCUCCCACCUCCUCAUGCUUUGUCUUUGCGCAUUAUACUGCAGCAAGGAGUGCAACCUUCCUGGCUUGCAAUAGAGACAACUUCCACAGGUGAAGCAAGUAUUCAAAGAACUCCAAGUCAGGCUUUGGGAAGUCGUGGAGGGGAUUUGCGACACUACCUCAUACCUCAUAACCCUGUUCUGGGAGAGACCGUUUUUGCUGAAGUUCUGUUGAAAGCUUUGGAACCUUAUCGAAGAGCAGGUCGUUUGUUGGACGAGGAAAGGGUAGAGCAGUAUGCAGCUGUAUUCAAGCAAGGCGUAGCAACAAGAUGUGCUUUUGCAGCAGCACAGUUUGGAGAAAAUUCGGAGGCUGUAUUCUGGCUUCAACUUCCUCGUGCGCUUGCACUUCUUAGUUAUGGUUCUGCCGGGCCAACUGCGUUCUGGAGACCUAUGAGGCAAAGCAAUUCCUCCGCAACAGGAGAAAACUCUCAAGAAUCAGAAGUUAAGGAAUCGUACGACUCCGAAGUUCCAGUCAACGAGUCAUUGGAUAGUGGAAUGACAUUCAUAAAUCCUAAGGUUGCUAUACCAUUUACUCCGGUGGGUGUACUGCCAGCUGCCCCUUUUAAGCUGACACACGGAUGCACGGAUAUCUUGCCCUCCGAGCAGUCUGUAGUUCGAUUAGUUGCGCGCGAGCGAAUCGGCUGGCAUGAAAAAUGCACUGGAACCGAGGCUACUCAAAGACGAGUACAUGAGUUGAUCGCCAUAGGUGAUUUUGAGUCUGCCGUAACAUUGCUGUUAGCAACGCCUCCAAAUAAUCCUCUGUUCUACAUGGAUGCGUUAAGAGCUGUGUCUCUAGCCUCUGCUGUAUCUACAGGACUACAUGAAUUAGCUGUUAAGGUGGUUGCGGCAAACAUGGUCGGAACGGAUGAUUCGUUAUCAGGAACGCAUCUUCUUUGCGCGGUUGGUCGGUAUCAGGAAGCUUGCUCGCAGUUGCAAGAUGCAGGGCGCUGGGUAGACGCUGCAACAUUGGCUGCAACUCAUCUGCAAGGUUCAGAUCACGCAAGGGUCUUGGAGAGAUGGGCUCAUUAUGUACUGAAUACCGAACACAACUUGUGGAGGGCCAUGAUACUUUUUGUAGCAGCUGGAGAGCUAGUUGAAGCGCUAGCCACGCUGCGGAACACCAAACAACCCGACACAGCAGCCAUGUUCCUGCUAGCUUGUCACGAGGCAAAAGUAAGUGCGAAAGCAUCUUUACAGGAUCUGAAGGAACCAGAAGUUUUAAUUGGUGAUGACUCGUUCGAUCUACCAGGAGAUCUAGCUCUCCAUCACGAUGAUGUGCAAGCAGUGUGCGAGUACUUUGGGGAGUAUCAAAGGCACCUGGCACAUGCUUGCACAGGCAUUGGAGCUGUCAUGGAUUAAAGCUCGAAACGGCCUUCAUUAUUCAGCAUUCCUCCACUUACGGUUGGAAAGAAUUUUAUUUUUGAUACAAGUGCAUGGUAUAGUUGAGUCAAAGCAUAUGCAAUGCGGUAGUUCUCAUAGCAGGAGCAGAUCAGCUGGAGUUUUUCUUGGUAGACAUCCCAGAGCUGAGAUCGAUCUUUGGCUUUGUACGACGAGGGUUGUAGUGGGGUAAUCUUCUGUGAGCACAUUGCUCAACCUGGCAGCAAAUCCAGUUGUCACUACGAAUCGUUGAAGGUUGUAGAUAUCAUUACAUUAGUCGUACCUUAAAAUUCAGGCAAUCUCAUGAAAGCUCAUGAUGCAUAAUCCUUCCACUGCAGUUCAGCUGGUUUUGCUUUUUGGGUUGUUCUACUAGACAAGCCCAGAAACUUCUCCGUUGCACCUUAUCGAUGCAGUCAAUUGUUCCUGUGCCCUACACAUGGAGCGCAGAUACUGCUGAUGCUCAUUCAUCCAUAAGAAAAGUGUGUCUUGAGUACCUGCAUCAUUGAUGACGCAUAGCUUACUACCAAAAGCUGGUCGAAAGGUUGGAUUUCAAGGGGCCAAGACAUCCAUUUUUCACAUUAACUGCAACUGAUGGACCACAUCAGUACCAGUCUCACUUAUGAUCACUUAGAUCAACUAGAAGCUAUGGUGACAAUUUGAUCUUUCUGUGCAGAUCAUACAAGGUCAUGUCAAAAGCCUGCCUGCUGUUUCACCACCAUCAAUUAUUGCUUGCAGUGAGCACUUGCUGGAACAUCUCAUGAAUUCUGCAUCCUUGGCUGCAUUCUGGGUUCAUUGAUUCUCCUGGUUGCUAUCAUUGUUGCAUGAUGAAUUUGUGGGAAUUGAUUACCACCAUGCCAAGGAACCUGGAAGCAAGACUACAAGCAUGUUGAGAAUUUGGAAUGGAUGACAGAGCAGAUGAACUGCACUUUGAGCAAGGCUGUGCACUUGAUAUAAGCUUAAUCAUACUUUUCAGCACAAUCAUGAGUGUGAAACAGGCAUGAAAAAGGAAUGGAGCAAUUCUUGUCAUCAAAAUAAGAUUACUUCUGUUAC